ACGCUGGCGGCGUGCUUAACACAUGCAAGUCGAACGAAGCUGUUGUUUGGAGACCUUCGGGUGGAAGAAUAACAGACUGAGUGGCGGACGGGUGAGUAACGCGUGGGUAACCUACCUCGCACAGGGGGACAACAGUUGGAAACGACUGCUAAUACCGCAUAAGACCACAGUACCGCAUGGUACAGGGGUAAAAACUGAGGUGGUGCAAGAUGGACCCGCGUCUGAUUAGCUAGUUGGUGGGGUAAAGGCCUACCAAGGCGACGAUCAGUAGCCGACCUGAGAGGGUGAUCGGCCACAUUGGGACUGAGACACGGCCCAAACUCCCACGGGAGGCAGCAGUGGGGAAUAUUGGACAAUGGGGGGAACCCUGAUCCAGCGACGCCGCGUGAGUGAAGAAGUAUUUCGGUAUGUAAAGCUCUAUCAGCAGGGAAGAAAAUGACGGUACCUGACUAAGAAGCCCCGGCUAACUACGUGCCAGCAGCCGCGGUAAUACGUAGGGGGCAAGCGUUAUCCGGAUUUACUGGGUGUAAAGGGAGCGCAGACGGCUUGGCAAGUCUGAAGUGAAAGCCCGGGGCUUAACCCCGGGACUGCUUUGGAAACUGUGAAGCUAGAGUGUCGGAGAGGUAAGUGGAAUUCCCAGUGUAGCGGUGAAAUGCGUAGAUAUUGGGAGGAACACCGGUGGCGAAGGCGGCUUACUGGACGAUAACUGACGUUGAGGCUCGAAGGCGUGGGGAGCAAACAGGAUUAGAUACCCUGGUAGUCCACGCGGUAAACGAUGAAUACUAGGUGUCGGGGGACAUAGUCUUUCGGUGCCGCCGCUAACGCAUUAAGUAUUCCACCUGGGGAGUACGUUCGCAGGAAUGAACUCAAAGGAAUUGACGGGGACCCGCACAAGCGGUGGAGC
Molecule: ribosomal RNA, 904 nt
Filed under: uncultured bacterium
Lineage: Bacteria
Description: bacterial SSU rRNA
Rfam family: Bacterial small subunit ribosomal RNA
Source: RNAcentral